UAAUAGGACAUCCAAAGGUUCAAUAAUAGUUAUCUCAUUAAUUAAGCGCAAAGUUUGAAUAACCGAUGACAAUGAGUUCAGUUAUCUUUUACUACAUUUGUCUUUUAAUAUCACUAUUUGUAUUGAGUGUCAGUACUGAUAGAAAUGAGUGUCAAUUAUUUGGAUCUAACGGUACAUAUGAAGGCGUUGGUGUUUAUAGAAAUCUCGACAAUAAUCGGCUAAUGAUGUAUAAUAAGCAUAAAGAGUGGGAAUUUGUAUUGAAUAACAAUACAAUUGAAUUCAAUACAAAUAUUAUCAAUGAAUUGGAUUCAAAUGCAAUCAUUAGAUUUACAGCUGUGGUUGAAGUAAAAAAUAGUAAUAUUAACAGUUAUCAUUGCAGUGUUGUAACAAAUAAAUCGACGACA
This is a long non-coding RNA of Oppia nitens, 404 nucleotides long. RefSeq lists it as uncharacterized. NCBI's taxonomy places the organism in Eukaryota, Metazoa, Arthropoda, Arachnida, Sarcoptiformes, Oppiidae. The transcript is spliced from 3 exons. The record is from RefSeq and is a predicted model, not a curated record.